RNAcentral lists this ribosomal RNA (253 nucleotides) under uncultured bacterium. RNAcentral's name for it is "partial 16S ribosomal RNA". It matches the Rfam family "Bacterial small subunit ribosomal RNA", at positions 524 to 776 of the family's 1533-position model. The record is from RNAcentral.
UACGUAUGAAGCAAGCGUUGUUCGGAAUUAUUGGGCGUAAAGGGCAUCUAGGCGGGAUGUUAAGUCAGGUGUGAAAGCCAAGGGCUCAACCCUUGAACUGCAUUUGAUACUGACAUUCUUGAGUUCGGAAGAGGAAGGCGGAAUACCCGGUGUAGCGGUGAAAUGCGUAGAUAUCGGGUAGAACACCGGUGGCGAAGGCGGCCUUCUGGUCUAGAACUGACGCUGACAUGCGAAAGUGUGGGGAUCAAACGGG